This 235-nucleotide ribosomal RNA is filed under the name uncultured bacterium. Its description in RNAcentral is "partial 16S ribosomal RNA". It matches the Rfam family "Bacterial small subunit ribosomal RNA", at positions 118 to 351 of the family's 1533-position model. The record is from RNAcentral.
UGAGUAACCUGCCCUUAACUCUGGGAUAAGCCUGGGAAACUGGGUCUAAUACCGGAUAUGACUCCUCAUCGCAUGGUGGGGGGGUGGAAAGCUUUAUUGUGGUUUUGGAUGGACUCGCGGCCUAUCAGCUUGUUGGUGAGGUAAUGGCUUACCAAGGCGACGACGGGUAGCCGGCCUGAGAGGGUGACCGGCCACACUGGGACUGAGACACGGCCCAGACUCCUACGGGAGGCAG